Molecule: transfer RNA, 89 nt
Organism: Dichomitus squalens LYAD-421 SS1
Lineage: Eukaryota; Fungi; Basidiomycota; Agaricomycetes; Polyporales; Polyporaceae
Rfam family: tRNA
About the family: Transfer RNA (tRNA) molecules are approximately 80 nucleotides in length.
Source: Rfam
GGGCACAUGGUGUAGUUGGUUAUCACAUCCGCUUAGCAUCUAAUGAGCGCGUUUGCGGGGGGUGCUGGGUUCAAUUCCCAGUGUGUCCA